CAGUAGCCGCGGUAAUGCGAAGGGGGCUAGCGUUGUUCGGAAUUACUGGGCGUAAAGCGCACGUAGGCGGAUAUUUAAGUCAGGGGUGAAAUCCCAGAGCUCAACUCUGGAACUGCCUUUGAUACUGGGUAUCUUGAGUAUGGAAGAGGUGAGUGGAAUUCCGAGUGUAGAGGUGAAAUUCGUAGAUAUUCGGAGGAACACCAGUGGCGAAGGCGGCUCACUGGUCCAUUACUGACGCUGAGGUGCGAAAGCGUGGGGAGCAAACAGGAUUAGAUACCCCCGUAGUCCCUGUCUCUUAUAU
RNAcentral lists this ribosomal RNA (301 nucleotides) under uncultured bacterium. RNAcentral's name for it is "partial 16S ribosomal RNA". It matches the Rfam family "Bacterial small subunit ribosomal RNA", at positions 509 to 809 of the family's 1533-position model. The record is from RNAcentral.